This 82-nucleotide transfer RNA is filed under the name Ixodes scapularis (black-legged tick). It matches the Rfam family "tRNA". Rfam says of the family: Transfer RNA (tRNA) molecules are approximately 80 nucleotides in length. Lineage: Eukaryota; Metazoa; Arthropoda; Arachnida; Ixodida; Ixodidae. The record is from Rfam by way of RNAcentral.
GCAGUCGUGGCCGAGUGGUUAAGGCGAUGGACUUGAAGUCCAUUGGGGUCUCCUCGCACAAAUUCGAACCCUGUCGACUGCG